GAUCCCAAUGAGGCCCACAUCGCCCUCCUCUCUGCCCAUUCCAGUGCCGCCGUUGGGCUUUGCCAUCGACAUGAGCUUGCCGGCGCCCGUGUGCCUGGACGACUUCGAGGAGGCGGCGCGGGCAAAGCUUCCGCGCGCCGUUUACGAUUACUACCGCUCCGGGGCCGACGGCGAGGUCACGCUCCGGGACAACGUGGCGGCCUUCUCCAGGUGGCGGCUGCGGCCGCGUGUGCUGCGUGGGGUCACCACGGUGGACACUCGCGUCUCGGUGCUGGGCCGCUCGCUCAGCUUCCCCGUGGCCGUGGCGCCGACGGCGAUGCAGCGCAUGGCCCACCCGGACGGGGAGCUGGCGACGGCGCGUGCGUGCGCUGCGCUCGGCACGGGCAUGCAGCUGAGCUCGUGGGCGACGGCGAGCGUGGAGGAGGUGGCGGCCGCCGUCCCGAGCAGCGGCGCCCCCCCUCCUGUGCGCUGGCUGCAGCUCUACGUGUACCGGGACCGCGACGCCACUGAGGCGCUGGUGCGGCGCGCGGAGCGCGAGGGCUAUGGCGCCAUCUUCCUCACCGUCGACACGCCGCGGCCCGGCCGGCGCCUUGCCGACGAGCGCAACCGCUUCUCCAUGCCCGAUCACCUGCGGCUGGCCAACUUCACGUCGCCCGAGCUGUCGGAGUUGGACAAGCAGAGUGGCGGAGGCGGGUCUGGGCUCGCGACGUAUGUGACGCGCGCCAUCGAGCCGGGCCUCAGCUGGGAGCACGUGUCGUGGCUGCGCUCGCUCACCGCCCUGCCCGUGGUGCUCAAAGGCAUCCUGACAGCCGAGGAUGCGAAGGAGGCGGUACGACAUGGAGUCAACGGCAUCGUGGUGUCCAACCACGGCGCUCGGCAGCUGGACGGAGUCGCAGCCACACUGGACGCGCUGCCCGAGGUGGUGGCGGCGGUGGGCGGGCAGGUGGAGGUGUACCUGGACGGAGGCGUGCGCCGUGGCACCGACGUGCUCAAGGCCCUGGCGCUCGGGGCCCGUGCCGUGUUCGUCGGGAGGCCCGUCGUGUGGGGUCUCGCGUACAAUGGUGAAGAGGGAGUGAAAAAAGUCCUAACCAUGAUUCGAGAAGAGUUUCUUCUGGCUAUGGCUCUUGCAGGCUGCCACUGCAUCACCGACAUCAACUCUUCUCUGCUCAUGCGGGAAGUGGCCUGCGCCGCCAGGCUCUAGAGAAGAGGGUGGCAUUGCUCCGUGUGGCUUCACGCUGCCGAUGGCCACAGCCUCUAUGUGGUCCACGAGGCUGCUGUUCCUGGCUAUGCUGCACGAUAUCGAUUCCCAGCCGCGGCUAACAUCAGUGGCGUUUGGCAUCUGAACCUGCCUUGGAUCUGCCUUUGGUCGACUCAGCUUUUAGGUGAGUCUUUGGCACGGUGUAUGUACAUUAGCACUGUGGAGAAAAAGGUGCUGUCGGGCGUGCGUUGUACUCAGCCACGCCAAUCCCUCGUGUGCCGUUAAAAGGUGCUCGCUAACUAUAUUUACCCUGACGAUCUAUAAGGCUAAACGGAAUAACCAUGUCUUUGUGUGUCUGUGUGUGUUCUUAAAUGCGGAAUGCUGAUGUUUGCGUUUUCGCUACAUAAUAAAGCCGAAUGUCUUGUUGUGCACGCGUGCGUCUAUGUGGACAUGACACAGAUCCCGUAGAAAUCCGCGGAAGCCCUGAAAACUCAUCAAGGCACAGAAACGCAACCCCUCCGUUGCUGCCAUUAUCACUGUCUGGAGAAGUUCUAGAGACCAUCCUUACAUCUCCAUCGCUUCCUUCUUUCUGCCAGAUCGAGCAAUUGUUGCACAUGCCAAUUGAUAAAACAGCCAAAUGCUCACCUGUCCGGGUGUGACCCGGACAGGUGAGCAUCUGUGUUGGCGUGGCAGAAAUGUACUUGUACCGAGACCUGGUACCAGUCGUGUGUAGAACAUUAUUUAAGUUUAUUUAACAGUGUUAAUAGACCUAGGUUGAGAAACACGUCCUGGUUUGAGCUGUUGAAAAGUUGACGAUCCUAGGAGGGGACCAUGAAAGGAAAUCCAUUUCUACGAAUGCCAGACGGACCAAAUUCAACUUCUAAUCAUCCUUAAGGAUGCUGAAUGAGCAGCAUAAUUGACCCCAUCUCGACAACAGCGUCGUUGUCCCCACUAUGUAACCUGUCCAUCACUCGAUGUAAGAAGCCAUCUAUUGAGGCAAUGGUCCUUCAUCAGAGCAAAGGAACGAGCCACUCCAAACUCCCAGUCGCCUAAUAUCCUUUCACUUUCACGGCACGGGAUGGGUCAAUACUGUGUCCACGCUGUCUACGCUCGAAGCUUGCAGGGCCAUUCCCCUCAACGUUAACUCUGAAAUCAUUCUCUUUGGUUUUUUCGGUAAAGUCACGUAGGUAAAAUUAAAUUAAAAGAAAACAACUAAAUUAAAUCACGACGUUUCGGAGGCAACACAAGCUUCCGUCUUCAGGUGGAACAGACACAGCAAAGAUUGCUGUAUCAAGAAAUUAUUCGCAGAACCUUUGCCCGUCCAGUCCAGGGUCACAGGGGCAUCUGACCGCACGCGCUGGACAGUGCGAGAUGUUGAUAGGUACGGGGUACGGUGGCGUGGAUUAUCGACUGUCAAUGAACACCAUCAAGCUGUGAAACUCCACCGUGACCACAACCGUUUCACCACGCGGCCGGCUACGGGCAGCAGCACCCCACAAGCGCCCUGAGUCACCACGUGGCAGGGCAGUGGAGGGCGAGCCGAACCAAGAAGCUACCAGUCACAAAUGCUUUGCAGUUGUAUUAAAAUUACGAUAAUUAUAAUAUAACUACGGUUUAGAAAUAAAAUAACGCCGUUCGUCGGACGGUCUGAUAUACCCUUGAGUGCAGAUGAAUAGAUGUCCAGAGUGUUGAUUGACACAAGAUAGCAAACACGAACUGUACUUGACAUAGCUCCUGUAGUUUCACUCCACCGUCGUAGAUUCUGUAUCCACGAGUGACAAACAAUACUCGACGGGAAGAAGAAAUUGUGACCACACAUCGUAACAAUGUAGUCGUGUAGCAGUGAACCACGACAUCCAUAGCAGCAUCCUCUUUGCUGUACUGCCCACCUGCUAAUCACCUCGCCAUCUACUCAAGCACACUACACAGCAAUCUCUACGUGAUCCGCCAACCCUGUUUGGCUCGAGCCUGCUGCGGGUUAUGCACUAAAUGAUAGAAAACAAUUGCGCUCAAUGUCCGGUGCAAGGCCAAGGAAUGUGGAACUUCCGCGCAUUUCUCCUCCUGGCCAUGAUUCACCAACAGCAGCUGCGCCGAGAACGCCGCGCUGGCGAUGGGUCGGGCGCUCUUUGUUUUAAGCCGCGCCGGGCGCUCUGGGACGACGUGGAACUGCUGACGAAACACUCCUUAAGCUGCACUCUCUAUUGCUGCACUCUCUAUUGCUGCACUCUCUAUUCUCGCCCCCACUCCUCGCCUCUCUCCGUUCUCCCUGAUGAGCAAAACACCCUCUACCCACCCGCUCAGUCGCACGCCUCGAAAAUAUUUCUGCAUGGAUAAAUAAAUAAAUAUGCAACUAUAUAUACGUACUUCGUGGGUAUGUACAUUAGUACUUUGUGGGUAUGUACUAUAGUACUUCGUGGGUAUGUAGACGACCAGGUGGAUCGUCUGAAUCGACCUACGGGAAUCCCAGGCCCGCCGUGAAGAUUGGGAAUCGAACUCGAGUCGCCGCUCUCAAAGAUCCCCCAUAUAAUAUUAACAAACUGUUGGGGAAAGUGCCAUUAGCGAGUACCUAUGAAGGCCGGAACGGUACACGAGGGGGUGGGUGGCCAGGACCACGUCCGUCUGACCGCCUUUGUCCACGGGCGGUGUUAUGUACAUGUACAUAUCGCACUGGGUACUCAUUUGGUGUUAUGUACAUAUUGCACUGGGUACUCAUUCGGUGUUAUGUACAUAUCCCACUGGGUACUCAUUUGGUGUUAUGUACAUAUCGCACUGGGUACUCAUUUGGGGUUAUGUACAUAUUGCACUGGGUACUCAUUUGGGGUUAUGUACAUA
Molecule: non-coding RNA, 4030 nt
Organism: Petromyzon marinus (sea lamprey)
Lineage: Eukaryota; Metazoa; Chordata; Hyperoartia; Petromyzontiformes; Petromyzontidae
Source: RefSeq, a predicted model, not a curated record